Molecule: ribosomal RNA, 465 nt
Filed under: Vreelandella stevensii
Lineage: Bacteria; Pseudomonadati; Pseudomonadota; Gammaproteobacteria; Oceanospirillales; Halomonadaceae
Description: partial 16S ribosomal RNA
Rfam family: Bacterial small subunit ribosomal RNA
Source: RNAcentral
CCUACGGGUGGCAGCAGUGGGGAAUAUUGGACAAUGGGCGAAAGCCUGAUCCAGCCAUGCCGCGUGUGUGAAGAAGGCCUUCGGGUUGUAAAGCACUUUCAGUGGGGAAGAAAGCCUUGGGGCUAAUACCCUCGAGGAAGGACAUCACCCACAGAAGAAGCACCGGCUAACUCCGUGCCAGCAGCCGCGGUAAUACGGAGGGUGCGAGCGUUAAUCGGAAUUACUGGGCGUAAAGCGCGCGUAGGCGGUCUGAUAAGCCGGUUGUGAAAGCCCCGGGCUCAACCUGGGAACGGCAUCCGGAACUGUCAGGCUAGAGUGCAGGAGAGGAAGGUAGAAUUCCCGGUGUAGCGGUGAAAUGCGUAGAAAUCGGGAGGAAUACCAGUGGCGAAGGCGGCCUUCUGGACUGACACUGACGCUGAGGUGCGAAAGCGUGGGUAGCAAACAGGAUUAGAUACCCGAGUAGUC